Molecule: long non-coding RNA, 1632 nt
Filed under: Rhagoletis pomonella (apple maggot)
Lineage: Eukaryota; Metazoa; Arthropoda; Insecta; Diptera; Tephritidae
Description: uncharacterized LOC118746526
Source: RNAcentral
CACAGGUGUACAACCGAUUAGUCGAAGAUAGCUUAAACCGACAGAAGCAUUCCACUUCAAUAAAUGAACUACAAAGAGGACGUUUUAGUAAUGGAACUUUUUCCUUUUUAAGGACAUCCGAUUUUUUUUUCUCACCAAAAGAACCUGACUACUUCUACAUCGUUGAAAACAGAAUAUAUAAGAUAGUAACUAUCCAGGGAAACCAUAUAUUAAUUUUGAAGGUGUAGAAGUUUUGAAUUUACAAAACUUUUUUAAUACGCCCAUACAAUCUGGUAAUCUUAAUAUUAAAUGUUGUAAUGUAUUAAAUUUUUCCACGACCAAAGUCUAACAUUCAUUAGAGGAAAUAUCCGAAGAAAUUAUUAAGUUCCAAAAUUUUGAAGGCAAUAUUAAUUUCUUCAUUCCUUUCCUACAUUCAUCUUAGAUUUAAAAAGUUCAACUUAAGUAAUACAACAACAUAAUACAUACAAAAGUAAUACAGACAUGGACAUGAACAUGGCCUUAAAUAGUGUAUAUGAUAACACGUCGGAUAAUACACCGAUCACCAAGAUCACCAUAAAAUUGUACAACCUUACAUUAACUUUUUCUUUUCAGAUCUCAAAAACUUGGAACAAAAAAUUUUAGAUGAAUUGAAAAAAACAGAGAGAAAAAUAUUGUCUGGUAUGUACGUAAGGCGUGAUCCAUCUAGACAAUUUUUUUAUUUAAAAUAAGACACUUAAAACAGAACUGGAUGUCUGACUCUUUAUUAUCACCCAAAAGAGAUGUUUUGUGAACUAGAAUAGCCCAACUAAGAUUUGAAAAGAACUCUAAUAAUAUUGUAAUUGGCUCGUGUCUCUAAGACAUUGUCUAAUGCAUUUCUAAUCCUUACCAUAUUAAGUAGUAAGCGAUAGAAAUGUAUUAGACAAGUAUUAGAGACAUGAGACACUUAACCGUAGUAAGAUUUUAUUUUAUUGUGUCGUUAUUGCGGAGUACCAUCGAUAUCUACAAGUAUAAAUAUUGUAUAUCUUUGUAGAAUUAAAUCACAACCAAAAAUCGAUGAAGAAGACUCUUACUCGCAUUUUGGAAGAAACGAAAGUAAGAAGUCAGAACCAUACAGAAAGGAAAGUGGCCACCAGUCUUCCAAAAAACCGUAUACCAGUCUAGAUGAAUUCAAAGCAUUUGAAAAAGAAAUUCAAGAACAUCACUCCAAAUUUAAUAGCCUGGUGGCUGAGUUAUCAUUAGUGUUUUCACAAUCUGCGGAAAAGUAUGUAAAGGCUGCCUGGCGAAAAAUAUUACCGGAUGAAGCCGCUCAGCAUUUAUCUUGGAAGGGCACAGAAACCAAAAUGUCAGCUAGAUCACUGAGUGUGACAAUGGCUUUAAAAAGCUCAUUUUCGAAAAAGUAUCCACAUAGUUCGGACAGCGAAUUUGUGUAUCUUAUAUAGUAACCACCUAACAGAUCAGAGAAACUAUACUGUGAUCAUGUAGAUAAUGUUUUAGAUUUAUCACUUGCAAAUAAGGAAGCCCAAUUGUGUAUACUUGGUGACUAUAAUCUUAGCAAAAUUAUAUGGUCAUGCCUUUUGGAUGAUACCGUGCUUAUUCCUAGUAAUGUGAAUUGCCCCAGUGAAAUUUAUUUAAUCGAUGGAUUCUUUAGCUUAG